This 69-nucleotide transfer RNA is filed under the name Hestiasula sp. JZ-2017. RNAcentral describes it as "tRNA-Val". Lineage: Eukaryota; Metazoa; Arthropoda; Insecta; Mantodea; Hymenopodidae. The record is from RNAcentral.
CAGAUUAACUUAAAAGUUAAGUUUUUCAUUUACACUGAAAUUUUUAUUGUGCAAUUCAAUAUAAUCUGA